Molecule: non-coding RNA, 23 nt
Filed under: Rattus norvegicus (Norway rat)
Lineage: Eukaryota; Metazoa; Chordata; Mammalia; Rodentia; Muridae
Source: RNAcentral
CCAGUACCAUGGACAGCCCAUCU